Macaca mulatta (Rhesus monkey) is the source of this 676-nucleotide non-coding RNA. NCBI's taxonomy places the organism in Eukaryota, Metazoa, Chordata, Mammalia, Primates, Cercopithecidae. The record is from RefSeq and is a predicted model, not a curated record.
UGGAGACAGGCUGAUGACUUCAGGGACAUGAGCAUGGGAUACAGGACACCUGUCAUCACCACCACCAUCAAGUUGGGAUUCGGGAAGGAGGUUAAUCAUAUAAGAAAUCCUGUGACCAGCAUGAGCUCCUGUCAGACCACACAGGGCACUGGAGUGAACAGGGCACAGGGGGCCCUGGAGUCAUGGUAAGAAAGUGUUUCAUUGGUAAAACCUUUUCCUUUGGGGAGGUAAAUAAAUUAUUUCUUCCUUCUUGGUAGCCCUUGAAGAUAAGGAUGGUCAAACAAAAUAAUAUCAUACCUGGAGAAACUCAGAUCUUGGUAAGAUUUACUAGUUAGGAAUCCAAGGUUAAUGCCAAGAAGCAGCCACCAGUUGGGAUCAAAUGUGAGCCUAUGGAUCAAGGAAUGCCUGGACACAGUAGACAAAGGUGGUUCAACUGGAUGCCUUAGGAAACAUGCUUCCAAAAACAAAGUAGCUGAAAAGAGACCAGAAUAACAGAAUAUCAGAGCCAGAGGAACAUUUGGAGGUAAUUCAGUACCUCCUUCUUUUCAACCUACAGGGGAGAUAGUGGAACAGAAGCAGGGAUGGGCCUGCCUGCUGUGCCCACAAUUCAUUGGAGAUUGUUGUGGUGAAGAAUUUCGUUUAUGAUGAGGGAGAAAUAAACCCCCGUCAGCUUAAA